CCUACGGGAGGCUGCAGUGGGGAAUAUUGGACAAUGGGCGAAAGCCUGAUCCAGCCAUGCCGCGUGUGUGAAGAAGGCCUUCGGGUUGUAAAGCACUUUCAGUGGGGAAGAAAGCCUUGGGGCUAAUACCCUCGAGGAAGGACAUUACCCACAGAAGAAGCACCGGCUAACUCCGUGCCAGCAGCCGCGGUAAUACGGAGGGUGCGAGCGUUAAUCGGAAUUACUGGGCGUAAAGCGCGCGUAGGCGGUCUGAUAAGCCGGUUGUGAAAGCCCCGGGCUCAACCUGGGAACGGCAUCCGGAACUGUCAGGCUAGAGUGCAGGAGAGGAAGGUAGAAUUCCCGGUGUAGCGGUGAAAUGCGUAGAGAUCGGGAGGAAUACCAGUGGCGAAGGCGGCCUCCUGGACUGACACUGACGCUGAGGUGCGAAAGCGUGGGUAGCAAACAGGAUUAGAUACCCCGGUAGUC
Molecule: ribosomal RNA, 465 nt
Filed under: Vreelandella stevensii
Lineage: Bacteria; Pseudomonadati; Pseudomonadota; Gammaproteobacteria; Oceanospirillales; Halomonadaceae
Description: partial 16S ribosomal RNA
Rfam family: Bacterial small subunit ribosomal RNA
Source: RNAcentral